UACGAAGGGGGCUAGCGUUGUUCGGAAUUACUGGGCGUAAAGCGCACGUAGGCGGUUAGCAUAGUCAGGUGUGAAAGCCCCGGGCUCAACCCGGGAACUGCACUUGAUACUGGUUAACUAGAGUUCGGGAGAGGAGAGUGGAAUUCCCAGUGUAGAGGUGAAAUUCGUAGAUAUUGGGAAGAACACCAGUGGCGAAGGCGGCUCUCUGGUCCGAUACUGACGCUGAGGUGCGAAAGCGUGGGGAGCAAACAGG
This 253-nucleotide ribosomal RNA is filed under the name uncultured bacterium. RNAcentral describes it as "partial 16S ribosomal RNA". It matches the Rfam family "Bacterial small subunit ribosomal RNA", at positions 524 to 776 of the family's 1533-position model. The record is from RNAcentral.